Brassica oleracea var. oleracea is the source of this 96-nucleotide small nucleolar RNA. It matches the Rfam family "Plant small nucleolar RNA R71". From Rfam's summary of the family: R71 is a member of the C/D box family of snoRNAs containing the C (UGAUGA) and D (CUGA) box motifs. Multiple nearly identical copies of this snoRNA have been identified in Arabidopsis, and it is thought to function as a 2'-O-ribose methylation guide for 18S ribosomal RNA. The record is from Rfam. NCBI's taxonomy places the organism in Eukaryota, Viridiplantae, Streptophyta, Magnoliopsida, Brassicales, Brassicaceae.
AAACCAUGAUGAGGGUAUUGCAUGGUGUAACCCUUAAGCCUCUCCCAUGCUUCAACAAAGAAUCUUCUACUGAAAGCAAGAGAUCUCAUUGUGAUU